This 292-nucleotide ribosomal RNA is filed under the name uncultured bacterium. RNAcentral describes it as "partial 16S ribosomal RNA". It matches the Rfam family "Bacterial small subunit ribosomal RNA", at positions 505 to 796 of the family's 1533-position model. The record is from RNAcentral.
GUGUCAGCAGCCGCGGUAAUACGGAGGGGGCAAGCGUUAUUCGGAUUUACUGGGCGUAAAGCGCACGUAGGCGGCAUUGCAAGUCGUAGGUGAAAGCCCUCGGCUCAACCGAGGAAUUGCCUUCGAAACUGCGCUGCUUGAGUCCGGGAGGGGGGAGCGGAAUUCCCAGUGUAGCGGUGAAAUGCGUAGAUACUGGGAGGAACACCGGUGGCGAAGGCGGCUCCCUGGACCGGUACUGACGCUGAGGUGCGAAAGCGUGGGUAGCAAACAGGAUUAGAUACCCUAGUAGUCC